Xiphophorus couchianus (Monterrey platyfish) is the source of this 278-nucleotide long non-coding RNA. RefSeq lists it as uncharacterized. The transcript is spliced from 2 exons. NCBI's taxonomy places the organism in Eukaryota, Metazoa, Chordata, Actinopteri, Cyprinodontiformes, Poeciliidae. The record is from RefSeq and is a predicted model, not a curated record.
UUUGUUCUGUUCCAGUAAAAGGAAAGAGGCUUUUACGAGCAGGUACAUUAAAAUAGGCAUUUUUAAAGGAGAACGUUUGAACAUUAAUUUCCCACUGGUGCCAUUGAUAAAUCUCUCCAUCAGUCUUGCUUCAGUCUAGCUCUGGCGGUGCUCACAUACUGCUGCAGUUGAGGGUGUAAUAUUAGUUUGUGUAUCACAGUUUAAAAUCUGACACGUAUAUCCAUAUUUUUUUUUAUUUUAAUUUUUGCACACUUAUUGGUACCCUGAGUAAUCUCUGU